AGUGAACGCUGGCGGUAGGCCUAACACAUGCAAGUCGAACGGCAGCACAGUAAGAGCUUGCUCUUACGGGUGGCGAGUGGCGGACGGGUGAGGAAUACAUCGGAAUCUACUUUUUCGUGGGGGAUAACGUAGGGAAACUUACGCUAAUACCGCAUACGACCUACGGGUGAAAGCAGGGGAUCUUCGGACCUUGCGCGAUUGAAUGAGCCGAUGUUGGAUUAGCUAGUUGGCGGGGUAAAGGCCAACCACGGCGACGAUCCGUAGCUGGUCUGAGAGGAUGAUCAGCCACAUGGGCACUGAGACACGGCCCAGACUCCUACGGGAGGCAGCAGUGGGGAAUAUUGGACAAAGGAGGCAAGCCUGAUCCAGCCAUACCGCGUGGGUGAAGAAGGAGUUCGGGUUGGAAAGCCAUUUUGUUGGGAAAGAAAAGCAGCAGGUUAAUACCCCGCUGUUCUGACGGUACCCAAAGAAUAAGCACCGGCUAACUUCGUG
RNAcentral lists this ribosomal RNA (492 nucleotides) under uncultured bacterium. RNAcentral describes it as "partial 16S ribosomal RNA". It matches the Rfam family "Bacterial small subunit ribosomal RNA", at positions 29 to 507 of the family's 1533-position model. The record is from RNAcentral.